Molecule: long non-coding RNA, 573 nt
Filed under: Monodelphis domestica (gray short-tailed opossum)
Lineage: Eukaryota; Metazoa; Chordata; Mammalia; Didelphimorphia; Didelphidae
Description: lncRNA (ENSMODG00000043978.1)
Source: RNAcentral
AUUUUGUACAGACCAAACUCUAAGCUAUGUCUUUAACUCUAUCCCUGGUUCUAUUCAAGUCCAGCUGUAAUGCUGUAAUGUAAUCCUUAGCAUGAGAACUCUCUUGAUUUCCUUGAGCAUUGAGUAUGGGACAUUGAACUAUUCAAUGGAAAAUCUGUUCACUUUGCCAUGUGACAUAUUGCUGUCAAAAUCGAGAGCAAAAUUGGGCUAAUAUAUGAUCUUGCCUGGACGUGGACUAAGCUUGGUAGGCUGAGUCAAGAUGGUGGCUUUGAAGAAGCAAAAGUUCAGACAUCUGAAAAUCCUUCCUUACCGAUCACAACUGAAUGCUCCUAGGGGACUGAAAAUCAAACCUAACAACAAGACAGAGCCAAGGAACCCUCCUGCUGGACUCAAACCAAAAGUGCCAAAGCUGAGGAAGUGAAUUGACUGGUCCCAAUUUGUUGAGCAACUGUUCGAAGUAGAGAAGAUCAGAGAGAGCAAUACCAUUUGGUUCAGUCUCCCUAAUCUGUGAAGUGAAUACAAGUCUAAUCUCCAAGAUGAAAUUAAUUGCAUGGAAUAAGAAUCAACUCAGGU